UCUUCGUAGGUGAACCUGCGGAGGGAUCAUUACAGAGUUCAUGCCCUACCGGGUAGAUCUCCCACCCUAUGUUAUUAUUACUUUGUUGCUUUGGCGGGCCGUUAGGCUCCGGCCCGACUACCGGCCCCGGCUGGUAAGCGCCCGCCAGAGGACCCAAAACCCUGAAUAUUAGUGUCGUCUGAGUACUAUAUAAUAGUUAAAACUUUCAACAACGGAUCUCUUGGUUCUG
This 229-nucleotide unclassified non-coding RNA is filed under the name plant metagenome. RNAcentral describes it as "partial contains small subunit ribosomal RNA, internal transcribed spacer 1, and 5.8S ribosomal RNA". The record is from RNAcentral.